GACAGAGGGUGCAAACGUUGCUCGGAAUCACUGGGCGUAAAGGGCGUGUAGGCGGGUAGAUAAGUCGGGCGUGAAAUCCCUAGGCUCAACCUAGGAACUGCACUCGAAACUGUUUAUCUCGAGUGCCGGAGAGGAAAGCGGAAUUCCUGGUGUAGAGGUGAAAUUCGUAGAUAUCAGGAGGAACACCAGUGGCGAAGGCGGCUUUCUGGACGGUAACGUG
Molecule: ribosomal RNA, 220 nt
Filed under: uncultured bacterium
Lineage: Bacteria
Description: partial 16S ribosomal RNA
Rfam family: Bacterial small subunit ribosomal RNA
Source: RNAcentral